Molecule: ribosomal RNA, 500 nt
Filed under: uncultured bacterium
Lineage: Bacteria
Description: partial 16S ribosomal RNA
Rfam family: Bacterial small subunit ribosomal RNA
Source: RNAcentral
AUUGAACGCUGGCGGAAUGCUUUACACAUGCAAGUCGAACGGCAGCACGGACUUCGGUCUGGUGGCGAGUGGCGAACGGGUGAGUAAUGUAUCGGAACGUGCCCAGUCGUGGGGGAUAACGUAGUGAAAAUUACGCUAAUACCGCAUACGAUCUAUGGAGGAAAGCGGGGGAGCGCAAGACCUCGCGCGAUUGGAGCGGCCGAUAUCAGAUUAGGUAGUUGGGGGGGUAAAGGCCCACCAAGCCAACGAUCUGUAGCUGGUCUGAGAGGACGACCAGCCACACUGGAACUGAGACACGGUCCAGACUCCUACGGGAGGCAGCAGUGGGGAAUUUUGGACAAUGGGCGAAAGCCUGAUCCAGCCAUUCCGCGUGCAGGAUGAAGGCCCUCGGGUUGUAAACUGCUUUUGUACAGAACGAAAAGGUUUCUACUAAUACUAGGAGCUCAUGACGGUACUGUAAGAAUAAGCACCGGCUAACUACGUGCCAGCAGCCGCAGUAA